UGGCCAGUAGUGGAUGCAUUUUAUGUAGUUUCUCAUUUGCUGUAGACAUGACCAUAAAAAAUUUUCCCACUAGGUUUUCUAAAUGCUACCUUGUUAGCCAGCAAUGAAUCUAUUGGGAAUAGAC
Molecule: small nucleolar RNA, 124 nt
Filed under: Castor canadensis (American beaver)
Lineage: Eukaryota; Metazoa; Chordata; Mammalia; Rodentia; Castoridae
Description: Small nucleolar RNA SNORA32 (ENSCCNG00000007268.1)
Rfam family: Small nucleolar RNA SNORA32
About the family: ACA32 is a member of the H/ACA class of snoRNA that guide the sites of modification of uridines to pseudouridines.
Source: Rfam by way of RNAcentral